Molecule: long non-coding RNA, 1115 nt
Organism: Bolinopsis microptera
Lineage: Eukaryota; Metazoa; Ctenophora; Tentaculata; Lobata; Bolinopsidae
Exons: 5
Source: RefSeq, a predicted model, not a curated record
CUUUAUAUUAUAUGACAUUAUAUUAUCUUUGAAGGCCUAAAAUUACCUAUCUUCAGUCUUGAUUUGAUUGCGAUUCAUAUUUGUACUUGUCAUAAGGUAAAAAGUGCGACUAAUGUUAGCUUCUAAUUUUCUAUGCAACACUCAUACAACUUUUGAAUGGAAAAGUACAUUUUUUGGAAGUGCAAAACUACACACUGAUUUGAUAGCUAAAAUUAUACGUGACGCUAAAUUUUUUGAAGAUACUCGCCUUAAUAAACUAAGCAUAGGAUUUUGUUUAAAAACCUAGGAUGGAAUUUUUGAAAGAGAAACUCAAUUUUCAAGGGGUGGCAAAAAAAUUGCUUUGCUGAUGACAUAAUGUACAUUGCUCUACAAAAUUAUUCUGUCGCCAAGAUUUAAAUAUAAUAAGUUCAAAAAACCUAGACUAUAAUUCAUGAGUUUUGUUUAAAAAAUAACACAAAUUUAAAAAUUGGGUGGUGGGUUUGGGCGUGAAAGGACGGAGGAGUGACUUCUGAUUUAUCUCAUAGAUUCAUAUCAAUAAGACUGACUAGAUGCGGAAGCAGUGGUUAAGGAUAUGAAGAAGCGGGAAGAAGCCAGAAUAAGAACUAUACUUCACAGAUAUUCGUUUCACAGACCAUGAAAUAGGCCACACCAUCAGAAACCUGGAGGAGUGGAUGUCUCCUUCCAAAAUAAAGACGGACGCUUCACAAACUACAAAUCUGUGCACUGCCGGAACGCUGGUAUGGAGUUCGCUAACGACGUCAGAUAUCCUCCAUUUAAAAACAGCAAGCUAAAAGAUUUCCUCUACACUUUCUUGUUCUACAACUCAGGUUUAUACAACCCCCGGAAGUACAGAGAAAAGAGCAUACACAGUGUGGAAUCUCGAUAGCCUCUUAAGAGGACGUAAAAGCAACUCUGAUCUUGGAGGCUGGAAUUUCAACAAUUCCAGGUCACGAUUCUCAAACAAUGUCGAAGGUAAUGGAUAGCAGCGUCUAGAAAUGCCCACUGUACAACUGAGAAGUGCUCCUUUGUUGCCCUCCUUCUCCAGACACUACAUGUCAAUAGUCCGAACAAAAAGUUGUAAUAUAAGUAACUGCUAAGGAGGGAUUGUCGUUGAG